Long non-coding RNA from Bufo bufo (common toad), 128 nucleotides. RefSeq lists it as uncharacterized. The record is from RefSeq and is a predicted model, not a curated record. Lineage: Eukaryota; Metazoa; Chordata; Amphibia; Anura; Bufonidae. The transcript has 3 exons.
UGCAUGUAUACUAAUGCCAGAAGCCUGAUUAAUAAAACUGGGGAACUGAAAUUAGUAAUUACUGAGGAGGACUGUGACACAGUGGGAGUAACUGAGACUUGGCUGGAUGAUAGCUAUGACGGUGGGAA